RNAcentral lists this long non-coding RNA (334 nucleotides) under Elaeis guineensis (African oil palm). RNAcentral describes it as "long non-coding RNA (EGUI_LNC054733)". Lineage: Eukaryota; Viridiplantae; Streptophyta; Magnoliopsida; Arecales; Arecaceae. The record is from RNAcentral.
CUACUACGAGCGGUCUACUCCGAACUUCUACUACGAGCGGUUUACUCCGAACUCCUAUAGUGGGCGGUCUACUCUGGAUCUCUACUGUAAGCAAAUUUCAUUCGAGCCUUUACUGUAAACACAUUUCUUCCGAACUUCUAUUACAGGUAGACUUCAGUCGAGCUUCUUCGUAGCCGGAUCUCAGAUGAGCUUCUACAAUGGGCAGGACCCACUGGCCAGGUCGCUACUCCAAUUUCCCACGACAACCGAUUUUCGAUCGAGCUUCUACAAAAAGCAAUUUUCCUUCAGCCUUCUACAAGAACCAGACUCCGUCCAAACUUCCAUAGCGGAUGGA